This 1441-nucleotide long non-coding RNA is filed under the name Rattus norvegicus (Norway rat). RNAcentral describes it as "long non-coding RNA NONRATT033145". Lineage: Eukaryota; Metazoa; Chordata; Mammalia; Rodentia; Muridae. The record is from RNAcentral.
CUUCACUCCUCUCAACUGGGCAGGAGCAGAUCGCCCUCUGCUGGUUCUGUUUUCUGUUAUCCCUCAGUAUAACCAAAACUGCACCCCCAAAAUACAAGGCUCCGGGAUAUCUUCUUUCCAACAGUGUGGUUGUGUUUUUUCCUUUAGAUGAAAAACUCACUGGAUGGAAGUGUUUGCCUGGACGGAGGACCUGCGCCAGGCAAUUCUCCCAGAAUGGAACCUUGCCACGACUUCACUGUACAGCUGGCCAUGCAAGACCAUCUAUGCUCUGGCAAAGAGAGGGAGAAGGAAUGUCCCUGCAUGGGUUGGAAGAGAUACGACACCACACAGAGCUUGUUCUUAUAGGAUUCUGUCUUGAGAAUACAGACAUAUUUUAUAUUACCUUGCGUUAAAAAAUUUAUUCUUCUUUCCUACAUCCCUACUGCAGUUCCCUUCCCUCCACUCCUCCCAGCUCCCCCUGCACCUUUCCCUCAGAUCCACUGCUCCUUUGUUUCCCUUCCUAAAACAGUAGGCCUCCCAGGGCUAUCCACCAAACAUGGCCUAACAAGAUACAAUGAGACCAGGCAUCAAACCUCAUAUCAAGGCUGGACGAGGCAACCCAGUAGGAGGAAAGGGUCCCAAGAGCAGGCCAGAGUACUCACUUUGCUUUUUAAAAAAUGUGUUUAAAGAUCUAUUUAUUCCAUGUGUAUGAGUGUCUUGGCUACAUACAUGUAGGGGCACUGCAUGAGUGUCUGGUGCUCACAGAGGUCAGAAGAGGGCAUAGGGUCCUCCUGCAACUAUAGUUACAGAUGGUUGUGAGCCGCCAUGUGGAUUCUGGAAGUGGAAGCCAGGUCCUCUGCAAGAGCAGCCAGUGCUCCUAACUGCCGAGCCAUCUCUCCAGCUUUGCCACCCAAACUCUCCUACCCACCUCCUUCCAAGUGUUGAGCCUACAAGUGAAUACCAACUCUCUUGGUUAUGAAAUACCAGCUUCCUGCAUUCUAGGCAAGGACUUCCUCCGUGAGUAACAUUGCUGGCUAUCUUUUUACUUUACAUGUUGCUCUUGCAGAGACGUUUAGGGGGUACCUGCUCUACCCUAGCCACAGAACAGUUGGGAACCUGAGUCACAAAGACUCAUCCAAAUGAAGGCUAUGUCAGGCCGGGGAUUCGAAGGAAGCCUGCUUCCCUGUGAUCAGCAUCACUUGGGCUUCUGUUGGUGGUCUCUUAGCUUCCGUUGAGAGAAUUCUUCAAAGAUGAGUUACAGCUCUCAUCCAUGCAAGCUCGGAUUCUUUGAGGCAGCGUUAAUCAGCUAUUCACUGCUGUCGCAGAACACCCGUGACCAACAACUUAGGCUCAAAAGCUUUAUUUUGGCUCGAGGCUUCAGUCCAUGGAUGCGUGUUUCCAUUGUUCCGGUCUCUGUGAGUUUUCUCUAGUUCCGGCUGCUCCAGGGGCUUAUGUCUUAGGC